GGUCAGGGGCGCGCUCGGGGCCCGAGCGAGCGAGGCGCACCGGGCAGGAGCUCGCGCCCACGGGCUUCGGUCCUAGGCGCCCGCGUAGGUUCUUGUUGGAAGGGGCGCGCUCAGGGAAUUGGCCGGGCAGAAGUAAGGCGAUCAUGCUCUGGGCCAGCGCCGCCAGCAAGGACCUUGGCGGCCAGGGAGGCGGCCUGAGGUCCCGCCCUUCCUCCCGCGCGAGGGCUUGGCAGCGCUUGGAGGCUCUGGGCGGGUCAACCCGCCGCCCUGGACGCCGGGCCGCAGCAGGUGAGGCGGCGGAAGCGCCCGCUUGCUGCUGGGCGGGGCGCGGCGGCGGUGGCCAGAGCCCGGGUCCUUCCUUCUUAGAGCGCGCCUCCCUCCUGGCACCCCCGCCUUUGUUGCGGCUGGUCCCCGGAGGCCGCACAGGUGAGGGCGGAAGCAUGGCAGGAGGCCCUCCUGCGUACCUGCGCUGUUUCUGUGCGGCCACUUCUUGGGUGCAUUAGGACGGUCUGUACUUUCAACCCUCAGUGUGCACGGACGCUCUCCUACCCCGGGCUGCAACACCCGAGAGAUUCCCCACCCUGGGCGUAUUGCGGGUCUCGCCUUAAAGCCUGGCCCAUAGUGGGUGUCCUGAAAGCCUGGACUGGAGAAGGAUUCUCGACCUGUUCCGGUGAAGGCCUUCCCAGCCUCCCACAAGUUCUCUCCUGUGGCGCCAGCCCGCAUAAUGAAUGGCUUCUUGUGGGCUUUUCCUAUUGUCAUAGCUCAGGAAGUUUUUCUUUCAAACCUUGCUUUUUUAUCUUUCAUAGAAUUGUUCCAGGAGUUCUUAAUGUCUGUCCCCACGUUUACAUCUUCUACAAAAGGGAAGUGGUGGUCUGGAUUUAAUGAAAAUGUGUAGAUAGCACUGCCCCUUUUCAGUUUCCAUGAAAUUCCAACCCACAUUAAAAAUAUCUGUACUGAUAGGUAUUUGCAUGCUUUGCAAAAGUUCUCUCUCUCUCUCUCUCUCUCUCUCUCUCUCUCUCUCUCUCCAUUGCUAUCUGUAUAUGUAGCUGGGCGCUGGUGAACACCUGUUUUCCUCAAAGUGGCUCCAUCAGGUGAAGAUGCUGGGAGCUAAUGGAAAAAAACAAACUGGGAAACCACUGGACCAAGAGUUCGGCAUCCCUGGGUCUUUGGGCUCCGCUACUGAAACCGGAUUGAGGAAUUAUACCUCUGGUCUGAGUUUCUUCAAAGCUCAUAGGAGGGAUUUACACUCUGUGGUCUGCAUUCUGUGACUGAUCAUUUCGUGUCUCAUUCAGCCAAUUGAAUUAAAGCGUCCGAUAUACUCUACUGUUGCCUGUUAUGGCUCUUGCCACAUGAUUACUGUCCCAUAAAUAAAUUCUACACUAUGGUCUCUACAAUGCCUCCAGUUAGAAUAAUGAGGUGAUUUUUUUUUCUUUUUAAAUGGAGAAAAACCCAAGUGUUGUUGGGUUUUUCUUUUAUUUUUGUUGUGUGUGUGUGUGCAUGCACGUGCUGCAAAUUGAACCCAGGUCCUCACAGCAUGCUGGGCAAGCUCUCU
This 1552-nucleotide long non-coding RNA is filed under the name Marmota monax (woodchuck). The record is from RNAcentral. Lineage: Eukaryota; Metazoa; Chordata; Mammalia; Rodentia; Sciuridae.